UGUAAACUGAUCGCACGAUCCCCAUUUUUUUAACCUAUCCUAAUUCUCUCCUUCUCUUCUCUUCCCUUAAUUCCCUCAUUCUCCCAUUCUUCCCCACUAUCUUUGCUAACUCGAUCCAACCACCGACAUAACCACCUUCGCUAUCACGUCCUCCAUGAAUUGGCGCUGAGGGUUUUGAUAGAACAUGAAAAUUACAAGGAAAUCAAAAAUCAAAGAUCAAAGCAACGGGUUUCAGUCAUCAAAAUUUGAGAUUUUAGUAGUUUUUAACUUACUCAAGACAAGAGCUAUUAUGGCUACGAACAAGGUGUUAAUUUCUAUCAAAUUCUCAACCAAUGUUUCAAUUUUGCCUCAUCCUUUGAUUCUAUUGUGAUUUGAUUUAUUGAUCAACUUUUGUUCUAUAAUCUUGGUGAGUGAGAUGAGAUCUACAAUUGGAAACGUUGAGGGUCCUGAGUUGGCUGAUUGGGUUUUUGAUGGUGGUCCCGAAGAGUCAGAAAAUGUGAUUUUUAUCCGUCUCUCUUUUUUAUGAAGACCUAGUUUUCCAUAGCAAGCACCGAUUCUCUGAAAGCUCUUUCUUCAUUGGGAAAGGGAACCAGGAAGAACCUGUUGUCACAUUUGAUAUGGAGAAUAAGAGUGCAGAUGUUCAUGUAUUGAAAUUUGAGCUCUCUCUUUUUGAGACUCAGAUUUUGGUUAAUACUCCUCAAGGGAUAUUAGAGAUAUCUUCAGGUUUACUCGGGAGGCACAAUAUUUACAACAUUCUUGCGGCUGUGUUGGUUGGCAUAGUUGUGGGAGCACCUUUGGAAGACAUUGUUAGAGGGAUGAUUGCAGAAGUUGAUGGCGUGCCAUGUAGGUGUGAGUUGAUAGAUGGAGAACAAGCAUUCAAAGUAAUUAUAGACCAUGCCCAUACAGCUGAUGCCUUGUUGUAAGGGAGUUUGCGCCACGAAGAAUUAUCACAGUUCUUGGAUGUGGUGGUGAGAGGGACAGAGGGAAGAGACCGAUAAUGACGAAGUUAGCUACAGAAAAAAGUGAUGUUACACUUUGAACUUCUGAUAACCCUAGGAAGGAAGAUCCAUAAUGCUGUCUGGUGUAGUGUGGUCAAUGCAAGAAGUUUUUGAAUUUGGUGAGAAUGAUUAUCACCCACCUCUUCCAAAUAGACAUAGGCUCCUCUUACAUGACAUUAGGCGUGCAGCUGUACGGGCCUCGGUGUCCAUGAGAGAGGAAGGGGAUAUGGUUGUAGUUGUCGGGAAAGGUCAUGAAUCAUUUUAGAUAGAAGGUGAAAAGAAAUAAUUUUCUGAUGAUAGAGAAAAGUGUCAAAAGAACUGCAGUACAUCAAUGAGCUUCGCCAGGAUGGACUAGCCACUAGCGUGGCGGUAAUUCACUCACCUUUUUUUCCAGAAAACUUCAGUUAUAUGGGUAGCAUAAGAUUCUUCACAUCGCCUAGAAAAGAGUUUGAUUGGUUUAAGUCAGUAUUAUGUGCCUGUGUUCUGUUUGGUCUUGAAUGAUAUAAUAUAGAGUGAUUUGACCAUCUUCGAUAUUAGAAACUUUAAUUUUCGGAUAAUUUACAUGCAAGACUUUGUUGCACAUGCUACAGUGGGUCAGCAACAUCUCUCCCUCUCUCUUGUAAAACAUCUGGACUUUGAAAGAUAAGUUGAUAGGUUUCAUUUAUACAACGCUCUCUCUUGAUCUUGAUUUAUUGUGUUUAUGCGGGUUGCCAGAGAGUCGCUUAAUUUCAGGGGAAGAGAUCCAAGCCUUGACUCUUUUAUCUUAGAUAAUUAAUUCUCAUGCGUGGAGCAAGGCUCAGUCUAAGGAUAUGCCAAAGGUGCAACCGCAUAGGGUCUGGCGUGGUAGAACAUUAAUGAGUAUCUAAGGUAUCACAAUUAAGAAUCUGUCGAGUCGUUUUGUUUGAUGCUGUGGAAUUUCAAGCUUGUCAUCUAUUGGGUAUGUGACCUUUGUAUUUGAUGCCUUGAGAUAGUUUGCAAGGUUUUCUUGUUCAAUUUUUAAAGUGUUGGUGUGAUUCGGUUAGCAGUAAAUUGGUACUAGAGUGUGUUGGUAAAGAAACUAGUGGUAUUUAUGUUGUCCGUAUUCAAUGAUCAAUGGAAUAUGGAAGGUUUGUCCUAUCAAAAUUUGAGUUACGAAUCUCAUAGACAAAAAUAGCAGACCAUUCCUGUCUCUAACGUCAAUCGUCAUAUGAGGAUAAAUUGAAAAGGGCAUCCUUUUCUUAAGCUAACAAUGAGAAGGAAAAAUCUGGCAUUGUUGAACCACUUAACAACAAAAAUCUCCAUCCUAGAAAUAUUGAAGUGGUUCAGAACACCCAUUUCCGCAACAAAAAAUCACAAGGGUAUGAUCAUCUUUUAACUAUGAGCUUUGAGUUCUCAAUUUGAACCUCUAUGCAAGAGUUUGUUAAUUCCAGUUUGUUGUCUUGUUCAAGAAGCGUUGCAUUGGGAUUGAUAUUGCCCUGUGGGUGUCUCUGUGUGAAGAUUUUUUCUUACAGGAUAGCUGACAAUGUUUGAUAGUUGAUGCUAAUUACUUGUAUAUUUGUAGCAUUUUGUAAAACCCAUUUGUACAAGCGAGUCUGUAGAAACAUA
Long non-coding RNA from Papaver somniferum (opium poppy), 2582 nucleotides. RefSeq lists it as uncharacterized. The transcript is spliced from 6 exons. NCBI's taxonomy places the organism in Eukaryota, Viridiplantae, Streptophyta, Magnoliopsida, Ranunculales, Papaveraceae. The record is from RefSeq and is a predicted model, not a curated record.